Cynara cardunculus var. scolymus (artichoke) is the source of this 2521-nucleotide RNA transcript. It is a transcript of the gene named nuclear pore complex protein NUP62, with no coding region annotated. The transcript has 10 exons. NCBI's taxonomy places the organism in Eukaryota, Viridiplantae, Streptophyta, Magnoliopsida, Asterales, Asteraceae. The record is from RefSeq and is a predicted model, not a curated record.
CGAAAUUUUCAAAACCUAAAAUCGUCGUCUCGCCGUCGUCUUCUUCCCUCGUCUCAGGUAUCUUUAGUGCCCUAAUCUGCUUCUUCAUCUUCCAUUCACUUAUCUCAGGUGUAAUUUCUGCCCUAAUCUGUCUCUUUAUCGUCUGCCCUAGUCUGGUCUGUGUCUUUCGUCUAAACAAGAAGGGCAGCUUCCCAAUAUCAAAAAGGAGGCCGAGAUAUGAAACAUGCCAACUACAAAGACAACAAACUGAGUGUUUGAUCACUUCGUUACAGAGCGGCGAAACAAGAACCUUAACCGUAAACCCUCCCCUGUCUCCCAUUCUCGAUUCAGUUGGAUUCUACAUAGAGAGAAAGAGAAGCAUCAACAAUGUCGGGAUUCUCCUUCACAAAUUCUUCAACCCCAUCAUCAUCAUCAUCAUCAUCAUCAUCUCCAUUUUCUUUCGCAUCAUCUUCAUCUCCAUCGCCCUUCUCAUCCUCCUCAAACCCUAGCACAUUCCCUUCACUCUUUAGCUCAUCUGCAGCUUCGGCUCCUGCAUUUGGAGCGCCUUCGUCAUCUGCAUUUGGUGUGUCUUUUUCAUCUGGAGCUUCUACUACUACAUUUGUAGCGCCUUCGUCAUCUGCAUCAACUCCUUUGUUUGGAUUUGCAUCGUCUUCAUCCUCCACAACGUCUUCCGCUGCUCCAUCACCCUUUUCUGGUUUCGGUGCUUCCUCCUCUGUGGCAACAGGUCCUAGUUUGUUCGGGUCCAGUUCCAAUUCUGGUGGCACUGCUACAAGUUUAUUCAGUUCAUUUUCUACCAGUUCAGCCACUGCUAGCAGUAGCAGUUCUGCGCCUUUUGCUUCCAUUUUCUCGGCUGGUUCAUCGGCAAGCCCGACUCCUAGCUUCUCCUUCGCUAAUGUAACAGCCUCGUCUGGGCUUCAAUCUUCUUCUGGUUUGUCAUCGAAUCUAAAAGCAGCUUCUACUACAGCAACUACAACGACUACCACCAGUGCCUCCACUUCUGCUGCUGCAACGGGCUCUAGUGGAUCUGGUUUGUUUGGGUCCAGCUUCAAUUCUGGUGCUACUGCUGGCACCGGUACAAGUUUAUUCAGUUCGUUUUCUACCAGUUCAGCCUUUGGGAAAUCCACAGCCACUAUCAGUAGUAGCAGUUCUGCUCCUUCUACUACCGUUUUAUCUGCUGGUUCAUCUCAAAGCCCAACUACUAGCUUCUCAUUUGCGAAUGUACCAGCAUCUACUACAGCAACUACAACUACAACCACUAGUGCCUCCACUUCUGCUGGCAAGACUCCAUCGUUCCCUGCAUUUGGUGUAACAUCUUCGUCUAGUUCUGCGGCUUCAACAACUACUGGAUCUGUGCCAAGUUUCUCAAGCCUCACUACUACUGCUGCAUCUACUGGAACAUCAAGUUCUUUUUUGGGGUUUCAAACGUCAUCGAAAACUGUAGGGGCUCUUACCCCGUCAUCACAACCGCAAUCCACAGCUGCCUCAUCUUUGUUUGGUGUCCCUGCUUCAAAUACAACUACAACCACAACUACAUCAACUAUUAUAACCACUGUUGCUCAAACAUCAUCCUCGCUGCUUGUAUCUUCCAGUAGUGGGACAUCUGCAAGUGUCAGCACAGCUGUAGCCUCUGCACCAAAAUUACCAUCUGAAAUUACUGGAAAGACUGUUGAGGAGAUCAUCAAGGAGUGGAAUGUGGAGCUCCAGGAGCGAACUGGAAAGUUCAGGAAGCAAGCCAAUGCAAUAGCUGAGUGGGACAGGAGAAUCUUGCAGAACAGGGAUGUCCUUCUUAAACUUGAGGCAGAAGUUGCAAAAGUUGUUGAGACCCAAUCAAACCUUGAGCGACAGCUGGAGCUGAUCGAGACUCAUCAACAGGAGGUUGACAAGUCAUUACAAAGUGUGGAAGAAGAAGCUGAGCGAAUAUACAAAGAUGAGCAUGGUUUACUUCUUGAUGAUGAAGCAGCUUCAACUAGAGAUGCAAUGUAUGAGCAGGCUGAAUUCAUUGAAAGAGAAAUGGACCAGAUGACGGAACAAAUAAAAUCUGUUAUUCAGACUCUUAACGCCAAUCAGGCCGGAGAACUCGAAGUAACUGAUGGCAUGACUCCACUAGAUGUUGUAGUGCGCAUCCUUAACAACCAACUUAGUUCAUUAAUGUGGAUCGAUGAAAAGGCUGAAGAAUUCUCUUCACGCAUUCAGAAACUGGCUAAGCAAGGUUUUGUUGCUGAUCGAGAACUGAUGGGCCCCAAGUUCUGGCUGUCCCGAUAAGUGUUUUAUCCUCUUGUGGUCGUAUAAAGUUGUGGAGUUAAUCUCUAGUAACAAUAACCGGAAUAUCUGGCCUUCACAAGACUUGCUCUACAUGAUCAGAAAUGUGUUUUUGUGUCUUCAAGAAAUGUCUAAGUAUGAUUUAAUAGUUUCUGUUUUUUACAAUGAAAUUUGUUUAUGUUUUUUACAAGAAAUUUAGUUCUGUUUCUUGUGGGAAAUUUAAACAUUUGAUUUUGCUGAAUACUAAGUUCAGAAUUAUAUU